This 340-nucleotide unclassified non-coding RNA is filed under the name fungal sp. Its description in RNAcentral is "partial internal transcribed spacer region". The stretch from base 1 to 46 matches the Rfam family "Eukaryotic small subunit ribosomal RNA", at positions 1786 to 1831 of the family's 1831-position model. The record is from RNAcentral. Lineage: Eukaryota; Fungi.
AAGUCGUAACAAGGUUUCCGUAGGUGAACCUGCGGAAGGAUCAUUAACACGUAUCCAACGUUAAACCCCCCGUGAACUUUUAUUGCGAACCACGCCUUUGUCUGCGAAGAGAGCGGUUGUAGCGCGAGGUAAGUGGCCUGGCAUUCCUCUGCUUGUUAGUGUCUGACAGUGUCACUAGCUCUGUACGAAUGGCGCAGUCACGAUCGCUAGAGGCCGACACGGCCGGCGACCGGGUCACCGGGCAUAGACCCCCCUAUCACCUUUGCAUGAAAACGGGCCUGCGCUUAAUUGUGCGGCCACCAAACUCGAACAACUGUUAACAAUGGAUAUCUUGGUUCUC